AGUGAACGCUGGCGGUAGGCCUAACACAUGCAAGUCGAACGGCAGCACGGUAAGAGCUUGCUCUUACGGGUGGCGAGUGGCGGACGGGUGAGGAAUACAUCGGAAUCUACUUUUUCGUGGGGGAUAACGUAGGGAAACUUACGCUAAUACCGCAUACGACCUACGGGUGAAAGCAGGGGAUCUUCGGACCUUGCGCGAUUGAAUGAGCCGAUGUCGGAUUAGCUAGUUGGCGGGGUAAAGGCCCACCAAGGCGACGAUCCGUAGCUGGUCUGAGAGGAUGAUCAGCCACACUGGAACUGAGACACGGUCCAGACUCCUACGGGAGGCAGCAGUGGGGAAUAUUGGACAAUGGGCGCAAGCCUGAUCCAGCCAUACCGCGUGGGUGAAGAAGGCCUUCGGGUCGUAAAGCCCUUUUGUUGGGAAAGAAAAGCAGCAGGUUAAUACCCCGCUGUUCUGACGGUACCCAAAGAAUAAGCACCGGCUAACUUCGUG
Molecule: ribosomal RNA, 492 nt
Filed under: uncultured bacterium
Lineage: Bacteria
Description: partial 16S ribosomal RNA
Rfam family: Bacterial small subunit ribosomal RNA
Source: RNAcentral